GUGCACUUGAUGCCCAUAUGAAUCCUUUGAGAUAAGCGGGGCCCAGGAUCCUUGAGCCUGAAGAAGACUGAUCUCUGUUUUGAAGACUGUUAAGGCCCAGUCAACUUGAAAUCUGGAGAUUUCUGGAGAAUUCUGCCCCUAUCCCCAGAGAAUUUACUCCAAGGGAAGUUCCAGACUCAGCCCUUUAAGACUGAACAGGAUUCCAGUCCAGGUGGCAUUAUAGAUCUAAUAAUAUAGAGAAGAAAAGCCUCCAGAGGAGUUAGGAUAUAAAAUAUUAACUUGCUGGUAAAAUAUAAAAAGUAGAAGAGAAAGUUGGUCCACUGAAGGAUGAUGUGUUCCUCAAAGCAUCUGAGACAGAUAAACAUCUGUGCUUCAUAUCGUGUCCUGGGCACACUGCUACUGAGCUGCUAUCAAAUGGCUUUCCCUCCAUCUGUCGAUUUCAGAGGUAAUACUUGAUUAAAAUUUAAAAAAAAAACAGAUCAAUCAAACCUUGACUUCUCG
Molecule: long non-coding RNA, 501 nt
Filed under: Monodelphis domestica (gray short-tailed opossum)
Lineage: Eukaryota; Metazoa; Chordata; Mammalia; Didelphimorphia; Didelphidae
Description: lncRNA (ENSMODG00000033901.2)
Source: RNAcentral